Long non-coding RNA from Gorilla gorilla gorilla (western lowland gorilla), 1435 nucleotides. RefSeq lists it as uncharacterized. The record is from RefSeq and is a predicted model, not a curated record. Lineage: Eukaryota; Metazoa; Chordata; Mammalia; Primates; Hominidae. The transcript is spliced from 5 exons.
GAGAGUCUGAAGUGAUUAUGAAAAGAAUAUUGAGCAAGAAGAGGAACUUCUUGAGUAAGAAGUGGAACUGAGAGGUGCUCAUCAUGACAUUUAAAUAUUUCCUGAGAAUUCUCAGAAAUAUUAGGGUUUCAGUGGCCCUGGUUCCCCAUGACAAAAGUACAAAGAGUACCGCAAGAAGUAAGUUGAAGAUAAGGAGUGAGGAGAAGGAAGGUUAGUGGUAAGGCCACCAGUGAUUCUAACAGCAAAGGGACAAGAAAAAAGACUGGAACUUUAUUUAGAGGAUAAAGCUGAUACCUGGCUUGCCCUCUUGCCCAGAUGGGACCUCAGGCAUAGGUUCCUAACUGUGAAUAUCCUGAUUUUGAAGAAAACAGUAGAUUAAUUGCAACUGCUGGCAGCUUUCACUUGACCUUGCAAAGGUUACAAUUAUCCAGAAAUCUCAUACCUAUGAGGGAAGCCAACUUCUGUGUCAUGAGGACAUUCAAGCAGCACUAUGGAGCCGUCCAUGUGGCUAGGAGCUGAAACUGAGCCAAGAAGCAGUGAGGAACUGGCUGGUAACAGCCAUGUGGGAAGAAAUUGUGUUUUGGAAUUGGGCCAACAGUAUGUGUUUCUCCGGUGGAUAAGCAAAAUUUCAUAAGAACAAAGAUGAUUCAAGCAGAUGUUUAUCAUGAAACUGCCAUGAAAAGCACCCGAAGUCACAAAGAUAAAUAUCAAAUCCAGUCUUUGGAAAUUUCCCCCACCCUACCUGAGCAUCUUUUGAAGUAGAUAUUCAAUUAUUUUGAAGGAUUUUUAAAGAAUUUUCUAGAUUUCAUCUAAAAGACACUUUUGAAAUCUUCGUUAAAAUUCAUGGAAAUAUAUCCUAGAUGAAUUUGGAUGAAUGUGAGCAAGUAGGUACAAACCUUUAUUUUAUCCCUCAGUGACUCACUCAGUUGUGAAUAGGAAGGGCUCUCUGUGAUCUGGCCACAGCUUAUUUCUUGCCACAUUCCUAUUUUCAGUCCUCUUCCAAUCAUGUGGAACUUCCAGCAUCUCCUUACACAUGCCAUGUUAUUUCACACUUUUGUGACUUUGCUUAUAUUUUUCUCUCUCCCUGGAAAGCUCCCCAACAACCUCCACUGCCAUUACCCACUAGGCAAGUACAUCCUGUUUUCAGAAUCAGCCCAAUAUCAUCUUUCCUAGGGAAUCUUGUCAGACUGCCCUUCAUUACCAACAGACAAAAUAACUACCUUAUCUUUGGUUCUGUCUUCACUCUAGACCUAUGUAGCAUGCUACUUAUAACACUGCAUUGGUUUGUUGGCAUUUGUAUUUUCCACUGAGCAACCAUAACUUAUGUGUAGACAAAAAUUGUAUUGCUCACCUUUGGAUUACUAGGACCUAGCAGUGUUCUGAUUCAGAGUAUGUACUCAAUAAAUUCAUCUUGAAAAGUGAAUGAAUGAAUAAA